Molecule: ribosomal RNA, 254 nt
Filed under: uncultured bacterium
Lineage: Bacteria
Description: partial 16S ribosomal RNA
Rfam family: Bacterial small subunit ribosomal RNA
Source: RNAcentral
UACGAAGGGGGCUAGCGUUGUUCGGAAUUAUUGGGCGUAAAGAGCUCGUAGGCGGUUCGGCAAGUCGGAUGUGAAAUCUCCACGCUUAACGUGGAGGGGCCAUUCGAAACUGCCGUGACUCGAGUCCGGUAGGGGAGUGCGGAAUUCCCGGUGUAGCGGUGAAAUGCGCAGAUAUCAGGAGGAACACCGGUGGCGAAGGCGGGUCUCUGGGCAGUUCCUGACGCUGAGGCACGAAGGCCAGGGGAGCAAACGGG